GUACCGUCAGUACAAUAUGGUAUUCGCAUAUUGCAGUUUCUUCCCACUUGACAGAGUUUUACGACCCGAAAGCCUUCUUCACUCACGCGGCGUUGCUGCGUCAGGGUUGCCCCCCAUUGCGCAAAAUUCCUCA
This 133-nucleotide ribosomal RNA is filed under the name uncultured bacterium. RNAcentral describes it as "partial 16S ribosomal RNA". The record is from RNAcentral.